Molecule: ribosomal RNA, 1478 nt
Filed under: Lacticaseibacillus rhamnosus
Lineage: Bacteria; Bacillati; Bacillota; Bacilli; Lactobacillales; Lactobacillaceae
Description: bacterial SSU rRNA
Rfam family: Bacterial small subunit ribosomal RNA
Source: RNAcentral
CUAUACAUGCAGUCGAACGAGUUCUGAUUAUUGAAAGGUGCUUGCAUCUUGAUUUAAUUUUGAACGAGUGGCGGACGGGUGAGUAACACGUGGGUAACCUGCCCUUAAGUGGGGGAUAACAUUUGGAAACAGAUGCUAAUACCGCAUAAAUCCAAGAACCGCAUGGUUCUUGGCUGAAAGAUGGCGUAAGCUAUCGCUUUUGGAUGGACCCGCGGCGUAUUAGCUAGUUGGUGAGGUAACGGCUCACCAAGGCAAUGAUACGUAGCCGAACUGAGAGGUUGAUCGGCCACAUUGGGACUGAGACACGGCCCAAACUCCUACGGGAGGCAGCAGUAGGGAAUCUUCCACAAUGGACGCAAGUCUGAUGGAGCAACGCCGCGUGAGUGAAGAAGGCUUUCGGGUCGUAAAACUCUGUUGUUGGAGAAGAAUGGUCGGCAGAGUAACUGUUGUCGGCGUGACGGUAUCCAACCAGAAAGCCACGGCUAACUACGUGCCAGCAGCCGCGGUAAUACGUAGGUGGCAAGCGUUAUCCGGAUUUAUUGGGCGUAAAGCGAGCGCAGGCGGUUUUUUAAGUCUGAUGUGAAAGCCCUCGGCUUAACCGAGGAAGUGCAUCGGAAACUGGGAAACUUGAGUGCAGAAGAGGACAGUGGAACUCCAUGUGUAGCGGUGAAAUGCGUAGAUAUAUGGAAGAACACCAGUGGCGAAGGCGGCUGUCUGGUCUGUAACUGACGCUGAGGCUCGAAAGCAUGGGUAGCGAACAGGAUUAGAUACCCUGGUAGUCCAUGCCGUAAACGAUGAAUGCUAGGUGUUGGAGGGUUUCCGCCCUUCAGUGCCGCAGCUAACGCAUUAAGCAUUCCGCCUGGGGAGUACGACCGCAAGGUUGAAACUCAAAGGAAUUGACGGGGGCCCGCACAAGCGGUGGAGCAUGUGGUUUAAUUCGAAGCAACGCGAAGAACCUUACCAGGUCUUGACAUCUUUUGAUCACCUGAGAGAUCAGGUUUCCCCUUCGGGGGCAAAAUGACAGGUGGUGCAUGGUUGUCGUCAGCUCGUGUCGUGAGAUGUUGGGUUAAGUCCCGCAACGAGCGCAACCCUUAUGACUAGUUGCCAGCAUUUAGUUGGGCACUCUAGUAAGACUGCCGGUGACAAACCGGAGGAAGGUGGGGAUGACGUCAAAUCAUCAUGCCCCUUAUGACCUGGGCUACACACGUGCUACAAUGGAUGGUACAACGAGUUGCGAGACCGCGAGGUCAAGCUAAUCUCUUAAAGCCAUUCUCAGUUCGGACUGUAGGCUGCAACUCGCCUACACGAAGUCGGAAUCGCUAGUAAUCGCGGAUCAGCACGCCGCGGUGAAUACGUUCCCGGGCCUUGUACACACCGCCCGUCACACCAUGAGAGUUUGUAACACCCGAAGCCGGUGGCGUAACCCUUUUAGGGAGCGAGCCGUCUAAGGUGGGACAAAUGAUUAGGGUGAAGUCGUA